This 432-nucleotide ribosomal RNA is filed under the name uncultured bacterium. Its description in RNAcentral is "bacterial SSU rRNA". It matches the Rfam family "Bacterial small subunit ribosomal RNA", at positions 29 to 507 of the family's 1533-position model. The record is from RNAcentral.
AACGAACGCUGGCGGCAUGCCUAACACAUGCAAGUCGAACGAGACCUUCGGGUCUAGUGGCGCACGGGUGCGUAACGCGUGGGAACCUGCCUUUAGGUUCGGAAUAACAGUGAGAAAUUACUGCUAAUACCGGAUGAUGUCUUCGGACCAAAGAUUUAUCGCCUUUAGAUGGGCCCGCGUUGGAUUAGCUAGUUGGUGGGUAAAGGCCUACCAAGGCGACGAUCCAUAGCUGGUCUGAGAGGAUGAUCAGCCACACUGGGACUGAGACACGGCCCAGACUCCUACGGGAGGCAGCAGUGGGGAAUAUUGGACAAUGGGCGAAAGCCUGAUCCAGCAAUGCCGCGUGAGUGAUGAAGGCCUUAGGGUUGUAAAGCUCUUUUACCCGAGAUGAUAAUGACAGUAUCGGGAGAAUAAGCUCCGGCUAACUCCGUG